GAAACAUAACUGCAUUGAUCUUGUUCUUGUCUCCAGUGCCAACUUUUGUUCAGAUUUGGAAGAAAAGAUCAAUUGAGUAGUUCUCACCAGCACCAUAUUUAGCUACUCUUUUGAAUUACAUGUUGUGGAUCGUAUAUGGACUACCACUGGUUCAUCCACAUAGCAUGCUAGUUAUAACCAUUAAUGGAACUGGGUUUGUAAUAGAACUCACAUAUGUGAUUCUCUUCCUUCUCCACUCUAAUGGGAAGAAGAGAUCGAGAGUGCUGGUAAUGUUGAUGGUUGAGUUUGGAUUGGUUGCAUUCCUUGCUGUUCUUGUCCUUACUCUAGCUCACUCUGUUGCUCGUCGUUCUCUUAUAGUUGGAAGUGUUUGUGUCUCCUUUGGGACUUUGAUGUAUGCAGCUCCCUUAGCCGUCAUAAUUCCAAACAGUUUAGGAACGGUCUUUGGACUGGGGCAGCUGAUAUUAUACGCCACGUUCUAUAAAAACAUGCAAAGAUUGAUGAAGGAAAGGAAAGGCAAAGGGGAUAUAGGACUGGGAG
Long non-coding RNA from Telopea speciosissima, 537 nucleotides. RefSeq lists it as uncharacterized. NCBI's taxonomy places the organism in Eukaryota, Viridiplantae, Streptophyta, Magnoliopsida, Proteales, Proteaceae. The record is from RefSeq and is a predicted model, not a curated record. The transcript is spliced from 3 exons.